UUCCCUUGAAAAAAAAAACAAAACACCCUUAAAUCCUCUCAACCCCCUUAAUUUUAGGCCAUGAAUCUGGCCAUCGCCCGCCGUGUCGGCCACCGGUCGCCGACGACGGCGCCGUCGUCCACAACGGCCUGAAGGCCAAAAGUCACCUUUUUCAGUGGAAUAAAAAAAAGGGUAAACGGGCGGUGCAACAGUGCUGCAGUGGCAGUGUCAAAAUGGCAGAGUGCGGUGGCUAGUGGCGGCUUGAUCAGAAGAUCCUAGGUGCAGCACACCUAGGGUUUAGUUAUUUUUUUGUUUUUUCUUAUUUGGGCUACAUUGUUGGGCUUCGGGUUUGGUUGGCUUUUAUUGGGUCUGUAAUAGGUUUAAUAUUAGGCUAAUUUGUUUAGGUUGGCUUUUAUAUAUUUUUAAAUAUAGAAUUAAAUCAUUAAAA
Long non-coding RNA from Gossypium arboreum, 427 nucleotides. RefSeq lists it as uncharacterized. The transcript is spliced from 2 exons. NCBI's taxonomy places the organism in Eukaryota, Viridiplantae, Streptophyta, Magnoliopsida, Malvales, Malvaceae. The record is from RefSeq and is a predicted model, not a curated record.